UGGGGAAUUGUUCGCAAUGGGCGCAAGCCUGACGACGCAACGCCGCGUGGAGGAUGAAGAUCUUCGGGUCGUAAACUCCUUUCGAUCGAGACGAACGGCUUCCGUGCUAAUCAACGGAAGAGUGACGGUACCGAGAGAAGAAGCCCCGGCUAACUCCGUGCCAGCAGCCGCGGUAAUACGGGGGGGGCAAGCGUUGUUCGGAAUUACUGGGCGUAAAGGGCUCGUAGGCGGCCAACGAAGUCAGACGUGAAAUCCCUCGGCUUAACCGGGGAACUGCGUCUGAUACUGGAUGGCUUGAGGUUGGGAGAGGGAUGCGGAAUUCCAGGUGUAGCGGUGAAAUGCGUAGAUAUCUGGAGGAACACCGGUGGCGAAGGCGGCAUCCUGGACCAAUUCUGACGCUGAGGAGCGAAAGCCAGGGGAGCAAAC
RNAcentral lists this ribosomal RNA (426 nucleotides) under uncultured bacterium. Its description in RNAcentral is "bacterial SSU rRNA". It matches the Rfam family "Bacterial small subunit ribosomal RNA", at positions 355 to 773 of the family's 1533-position model. The record is from RNAcentral.